This 687-nucleotide ribosomal RNA is filed under the name Triticum aestivum (bread wheat). RNAcentral describes it as "partial small subunit ribosomal RNA". The record is from RNAcentral. Lineage: Eukaryota; Viridiplantae; Streptophyta; Magnoliopsida; Poales; Poaceae.
CCACGAUACAUUGGAGGUCUUGGUUUCAGAGAUUUCGAACUGUUUAACUUAGCUCUUUUGGCACGCCGGUCUUGGAGGACUCUGAGUUCCCCGGAGUCGCUAAGUGCCCGUAUCCUCAAAGGGGUUUAUUUUCCUUCCUGCUCUAUCUUGGAAGCUAAUUUGGAAAGCCACCCGUCCUAGAUAUGGCGCUCAAUUUUGGAAGGAAGAGACAUAAUGAAGCAAGGGCUAGUAAGAAGGAUUGGUAAUGGGGCUACAACCGGCAUUUGGACCACUAACUGGAUCCCAAGACCAGAAAGAAUGCAACCAUUGCUAUCAAGAGUGACGAAUCCACCAGAGUUAGUUUCACAACUAAUUGAUACUGCAAACGCUAAGUGGAAUUCAGAAUUGAUCCGGGAGGUAUUUCUUCCUUUUGACGCAAAUGAGAUCCUUCAGAUUCCAAUUUGUUUGAGAAACAUUGACGAUUAUUGGUCAUGGAUGUUCGAGAAAUCAGGGAUUUUCAGUGUUAGGUCAGCCUAUAAAAUGAUAGUGGACACGAAGCGCCGCCGUGAGGACUGGCUUGAGGAACGGGCGGACAGUUCGAACAGAAACACUAGUAGAAAAAGGGGCUUUCGUUCGGGCCUGGCCAGCCCAUUAGUCCCGGUUCUUCCACGAACCGGGACCAAUGGAUGCAUUUGUCUCGGUUUGUGA